UACGGAGGGUGCAAGCGUUAUCCGGAUUUACUGGGUUUAAAGGGUGUGUAGGCGGACUUUCAAGUCCGUGGUGAAAUCUCCGGGCUCAACCCGGAAACUGCCAUGGAUACUAUUUGUCUUGAAUAUUGUUGAGGUGGGCGGAACGGGUCAUGUAGCGGUGAAAUGCAUAGAUAUGACCCGGAACACCGAUUGCGAAGGCAGCCCACUAAGCAAUGAUUGACGCUGAGGCACGAAAGCGUGGGGAUCAAACAGG
Molecule: ribosomal RNA, 253 nt
Filed under: uncultured bacterium
Lineage: Bacteria
Description: partial 16S ribosomal RNA
Rfam family: Bacterial small subunit ribosomal RNA
Source: RNAcentral